GUGCUCACAUUAAGCCCCACAUAUACCAAAAUUAGAACCAUACAGAGAAGAUUAGCAUGGCCCCUGUACAAAGGAUAAUAGCAAAUUUGCAAAGCAGUAUUUAUUUAUU
Small nuclear RNA from Nannospalax galili (Upper Galilee mountains blind mole rat), 109 nucleotides. NCBI's taxonomy places the organism in Eukaryota, Metazoa, Chordata, Mammalia, Rodentia, Spalacidae. The record is from Ensembl.